GACGUAGGGGGCGAGCGUUGUCCGGAUUUAUUGGGCGUAAAGCGCGCGUAGGCGGCCGCGCAAGUCGGAUGUGAAAACCCGGGGCUCAACCCCGGGCGUGCAGCCGAUACGGGCAGACUAGAAUUCGGUAGGGGAGACUGGAAUUCCUGGUGUAGCGGUGAAAUGCGCAGAUAUCAGGAGGAACACCAAUUGCGAAGGCAGCUCGCUGGGACGUAACUGACGCUGAGACGCGAAAGCGUGGGGAGCAAACAGG
This 253-nucleotide ribosomal RNA is filed under the name uncultured bacterium. Its description in RNAcentral is "partial 16S ribosomal RNA". It matches the Rfam family "Bacterial small subunit ribosomal RNA", at positions 524 to 776 of the family's 1533-position model. The record is from RNAcentral.